GGAUGCCUCCGAAGUAGACUGAUAUGGAUAGAGAAAAACAACUCAUGCAGCUUUGACUGGUGUGAAAACAAAGUCAACUCUGAAUGUCAGUGCAGACAUUCCCUGUGUGACAAUAGACACGAACUUAAUGGAGACAACAGAAUGGUGAACCCUGGGAAGUCAAUUACAUGGCAACAGAUGCAAUCCCACAGCCGUAACCAGGGUAGGCAGACCGCACUAUAGCAGCCCACCAUCACCUUGCCUUUAGGACUGAUCGUGAAGAAGAGAAGAAGAUGAUCCCGAUACUGCCCAGAAGCAGGCAGGAGCCAGUGAAGGAAAAGAGAUCUUAUGGGGAGCCAUGCUUCUGGAGUUAUUGCUCCAUAAAGUUAGGAUGGCCCCAGAGAGGGGCAGAGACUGGGAGAGACCUGGAUGAAAGGGAGGGGGAGUGAUGUGGCCCAGAGCAGGAAAGUGGAGAAGAACUGUGAUGGCUGGAAUGAUGGAGAGGUGAACAGUGGCUGGAUGCUAAAUUAAGAAGAGUUUCAACAAGCAGAGAUCGACUCCAUUUUGAGGACUUGUCAGUAUAAACAAGGUAUAAACAAAACCAGAGAAACAUGGGAAA
This is a long non-coding RNA of Alligator sinensis (Chinese alligator), 598 nucleotides long. RefSeq lists it as uncharacterized. NCBI's taxonomy places the organism in Eukaryota, Metazoa, Chordata, Crocodylia, Alligatoridae. The record is from RefSeq and is a predicted model, not a curated record. The transcript is spliced from 3 exons.